Molecule: long non-coding RNA, 615 nt
Organism: Vespula vulgaris
Lineage: Eukaryota; Metazoa; Arthropoda; Insecta; Hymenoptera; Vespidae
Exons: 2
Source: RefSeq, a predicted model, not a curated record
AAAGAAGGGGUCACAAUUUUAUAUACUACGCGUAUAUAAUUUAAGUAAUGCACACAUUCAGCUAGCAUGUCUUGCUGCUGCUGCUGCUGCUGCUAUUUUACGAAGUGGUAAGAGCAAAUCGAUCGAUCGUGUCCUCGAUCAAAAGGUGUCGCGCAGGAAAGACAGCAGGUUUCAAUCCGGCAUCCACUCGUAGUAUCCGUAUUCACAAGUAGAAGGUGUAACAAAUAAGAAAGGAUAAAAAAGAAAAACUCAUGCGAAGCAACUCACCUUUGUUCCAAGGAAUCCGUUCGAUUGGACUUGUAGCCGCUAUCGUUGAGACUCCCUUCGUGUCUCAAGGAGGGCAACGAGUCCCAUGGAGAUUCUCUUUUAUGACUCGAAUAACCUGGAUUUAUUGAACUGGAUGCACCUGAACCGAGCGUCGAACUUCCGGAUUGCCAACCAUCCGAAUGCCUAAACCACUGAGCACGUGCCGAUUCCCCGAUACAGCUGGCGCAUCUUAAAUAUUCAAACGGAACGUUUCCACUUUAACGACGACACGAACGGCAAAAUGAUGGUUCAUUUUUCGUUCUCACAUAUUUUACAAUAAAAUGUAACGAUCAUUUCUUUCUCGUUAAA